UGGGGAAUAUUGCGCAAUGGGCGAAAGCCUGACGCAGCUACGCCGCGUGGGUGAUGAAGGCCUUCGGGUUGUAAAGCUCUGUCGAGGGGGACGAAGUUCUGACGGUACCCCUCAAGAAAGCACCGGCUAACUCCGUGCCAGCAGCCGCGGUAAUACGGAGGGUGCAAGCGUUGCUCGGAAUCAUUGGGCGUAAAGCGUACGCAGGCUGUCUGUCAAGUCGGGUGUGAAAGCCCGGGGCUCAACCCCGGAACGGCGCCCGAAACUGUCAGGCUUGAAUGCGGGAGAGGGAAGCGGAAUUCCUGGUGUAGAGGUGAAAUUCGUAGAUAUCAGGAGGAACACCGGUGGCGAAAGCGGCUUCCUGGCCCGACAUUGACGCUCAUGUACGAAAGCGUGGGGAGCAAACAG
This 405-nucleotide ribosomal RNA is filed under the name uncultured bacterium. RNAcentral describes it as "bacterial SSU rRNA". It matches the Rfam family "Bacterial small subunit ribosomal RNA", at positions 355 to 775 of the family's 1533-position model. The record is from RNAcentral.